UUCACCUUUGGUCUCGUCAGUCUACGGGAUAUUUUUCCAGAAGUCUUGGGGAUCAUCAAGAUGUUUUUUGACAAAUAUGAGAUGAUGUUGUUUUUUGUCAGCAGUGGUUUUCUCCUUGGAUCUCUUCCAUGGAUGCCAUUUUGUUAUUGUUGAAUCAUGAACUCUGACCUUAACUGAGGCAAACGAGGCCUGCUGUUCUUAAGAUGUUGUUCUGGGAUCUUUUGUGACCUCCCGAAUGAGUCGUUGAUGUGCUCUUGAAGUAGUUUGGUAGGCUGGCCGCUCCUGGGAAGGUUCACCACUGUUAUGGUAAAUUGACUGAUUCUUAUAUAGCGCUUUUCCACUCCCCCAGAGUACGCAAAGCGCUCAAUACAACAUGCCAUAUUCACCCAUUCACACAAUCGCUUUCUUCUAUGAUUAUAAGUAACUCCAUACUUUGAUGAUGCAUCAGAAAGUGAGGCAGGAUCGAACCACUAACCUUCCAAUCAGUAGAUGACCUGCUCUACCUCCUACAGCCACCCAUACUGUUCCAAAUUUUCUCGAUUGGUUAGAGUCCCAGAGCCUUAGAAAGGAUUUUCUACAUUAUACAUAUGUUAAAAAGCUCCAUUCUUGAGUGAGGUUAACAGGCUUCUCUGCGUUUUCCCUUUUAGGACAACCUCUAGCAUUCUGUUCAGAAUCAGACACACUUGAAACCCAACAGUUGGUGAAAAAAAACACCUGCUGGACUUCAUCUGGACAAACCUGGGAGGUUACGUCACUGAUCUCGAGUUGCUGUUUCUCCCAUCAAACCUCAAUGGAUAGCCACAGCGACCACAGCUUUUCCAGACCCUAGCGGCUGGCGGUUGGGAGCACGCUCAGUUGCUGCUGCUCUGUUUCCUGAACAUUUCAUGAUGCUUCACAAACCUGUGAGGGGCAGUAAAAAGUGAUAUUUCCAUUGCGACCCAUGUGUGUGGACGGUGGACAGGUCUAUAUGUGUAAGGAUGCCUAUGGUGGCCCCAUGAUCGGAAGGUCGGGGGUUCGAAUCCACUGAACGGCUACCCUGAGGUACCCCUGAGCAAGGUCCAUACUCAGCAUCCGUUGCCCAGUGUGUCCACUCUGUCUUCUCUGCACGUGCCCAAACCAUCUCAACUUUGCCUCUUUAACUUUAUCUUCAGAACACCUGUCUGAUACACUCAUUUCUAAUUUCCAGCUUGGCCUCCUGUCUUUUACUAGUGCCAUUGUCUCCAAA
This is a long non-coding RNA of Astatotilapia calliptera (eastern happy), 1225 nucleotides long. The record is from Ensembl. NCBI's taxonomy places the organism in Eukaryota, Metazoa, Chordata, Actinopteri, Cichliformes, Cichlidae.